RNAcentral lists this ribosomal RNA (253 nucleotides) under uncultured bacterium. RNAcentral describes it as "partial 16S ribosomal RNA". It matches the Rfam family "Bacterial small subunit ribosomal RNA", at positions 524 to 776 of the family's 1533-position model. The record is from RNAcentral.
UACGUAGGGUGCGAGCGUUAAUCGGAAUUACUGGGCGUAAAGCGUGCGCAGGCGGUUCGUUAAGUCAGAUGUGAAAGCCCCGGGCUCAACCUGGGAACUGCAUUUGAAACUGGCGGGCUUGAGCAUGGCAGAGGGGGGUGGAAUUCCGCGUGUAGCAGUGGAAUGCGUAGAGAUGCGGAGGAACACCGAUGGCGAAGGCAGCCCCCUGGGCCAAUACUGACGCUCAGGCACGAAAGCGUGGGGAGCAAACAGG